Molecule: ribosomal RNA, 1485 nt
Filed under: Rhodococcus erythropolis
Lineage: Bacteria; Bacillati; Actinomycetota; Actinomycetes; Mycobacteriales; Nocardiaceae
Description: partial 16S ribosomal RNA
Rfam family: Bacterial small subunit ribosomal RNA
Source: RNAcentral
GGGGGCUGGGGGGGUCUUACCAUGCAGUCGAGCGGUAAGGCCUUUCGGGGUACACGAGCGGCGAACGGGUGAGUAACACGUGGGUGAUCUGCCCUGCACUUCGGGAUAAGCCUGGGAAACUGGGUCUAAUACCGGAUAUGACCUCCUAUCGCAUGGUGGGUGGUGGAAAGAUUUAUCGGUGCAGGAUGGGCCCGCGGCCUAUCAGCUUGUUGGUGGGGUAAUGGCCUACCAAGGCGACGACGGGUAGCCGACCUGAGAGGGUGACCGGCCACACUGGGACUGAGACACGGCCCAGACUCCUACGGGAGGCAGCAGUGGGGAAUAUUGCACAAUGGGCGAAAGCCUGAUGCAGCGACGCCGCGUGAGGGAUGACGGCCUUCGGGUUGUAAACCUCUUUCAGCAGGGACGAAGCGCAAGUGACGGUACCUGCAGAAGAAGCACCGGCUAACUACGUGCCAGCAGCCGCGGUAAUACGUAGGGUGCAAGCGUUGUCCGGAAUUACUGGGCGUAAAGAGUUCGUAGGCGGUUUGUCGCGUCGUUUGUGAAAACCAGCAGCUCAACUGCUGGCUUGCAGGCGAUACGGGCAGACUUGAGUACUGCAGGGGAGACUGGAAUUCCUGGUGUAGCGGUGAAAUGCGCAGAUAUCAGGAGGAACACCGGUGGCGAAGGCGGGUCUCUGGGCAGUAACUGACGCUGAGGAACGAAAGCGUGGGUAGCGAACAGGAUUAGAUCCCCUGGUAGUCCACGCCGUAAACGGUGGGCCCUAGGUGUGGGUUCCUUCCACGGAAUCCGUGCCGUAGCUAACGCAUUAACCCCCCCCCCUGGGGAAUACGGCCCCAAGGCUAAAACUCCAAGGAAUUGACGGGGGCCCCCCCAAAGGGGGGGAACAGGGGGAUUAAUUCCAUGCACCCGGAAAAACCUUACCGGGGGUUGAAAAUUACCCGGAAAACUUCCAAAAAUUUGGCCCCCCCUUGGGGCCGGAAAAAAGGGGGGGCAAGGGGUUUCCUCCCCCCCGGGCCCGAAAAAUUUGGGUUUAAUUCCCCCAAAAAAGGGCCACCCCCUUUUUUAUUUUGCCCCCCCCUUUUUGGGGGGGGAACCUUAAAAAAAAAUCGGCGGGGGUCACUUCCCAAAAAAGGGGGGGGGGAAAACCCUUUACAUUUUUCUGCCCCCUUUUAGGGGGGGGCUUCCAAAUAUUUUAAACGGGGAACGCAAAAAGGGGGUCCGCCAACCGGGGGAGGUGGAGCGAAUCCCUUAAAGCUGGUCUCAGUUCGGAUCGGGGUCUGCAACUCGACCCCGUGAAGUCGGAGUCGCUAGUAAUCGCAGAUCAGCAACGCUGCGGUGAAUACGUUCCCGGGCCUUGUACACACCGCCCGUCACGUCAUGAAAGUCGGUAACACCCGAAGCCGGUGGCUUAACCCCUUGUGGGAGGGAGCCGUCGAAGGUGGGAUCGGCGAUUGGACGAAGUCGUAACAAGUAGCAUUAACC